Molecule: long non-coding RNA, 430 nt
Filed under: Papio anubis (olive baboon)
Lineage: Eukaryota; Metazoa; Chordata; Mammalia; Primates; Cercopithecidae
Description: lncRNA (ENSPANG00000044430.1)
Source: RNAcentral
UUUAAAAUCCCUUCCAGUUUAUAAAGUCUGAUCUAUUCUACCAUUUUACAUGUUUUCAUAGCAAAGAUCAAAUUCUGGGAGUUUACAUUUCUGAAACUUGGGUCAAGGUCCUGACCAAUCCUCAAAAGAGCAACUGUGUGGACAUCUGUGGCAAUGUCAGAUUCACUGAAUCCCAAGACAAGGAGCUCUUUGAUAAUGGGCUAGAGGAAAGGGUGAAAGAAUGGUUUAGAACUAAUUCAAGAAAGAACAAUCUGAUUCCCACUUGGAGGAGGACGCAGGAGCUGAAUCAGAUGGGGCUGCGGUGCCUGGGGAGGAGGAAAUUGUGAGUACUUGCUCUUGAUUAUCAUUAUCCUCCUGUUGUCUAGGAAGAUGACUGUUAUAAUUAGCCACAAAUGUCAUGGGCAACUAUAAUUUACCUUUUCCUGUAACA